CCCGCUGAACUUAAGCAUAUCAAUAAGCGGAGGAAAAGAAACUAACAAGGAUUCCCCUAGUAACUGCGAGUGAAGCGGGAAAAGCUCAAAUUUAAAAUCUGGCGGUCUUUCGGCCGUCCGAGUUGUAAUCUGGAGAAGCGUUUAUCCGCCUUGGACCGUGUACAAGUCUUCUGGAAGGGAGCGUCAUAGAGGGUGAGAAUCCCGUCUUUGACACGGACUACCAAUGCUUUUGUGAUGCGCUCUAGAAGAGUCGAGUUGUUUGGGAAUGCAGCUCAAAAUGGGUGGUAAAUUCCAUCUAAAGCUAAAUAUUGGCGAGAGACCGAUAGCGAACAAGUACCGUGAGGGAAAGAUGAAAAGCACUUUGGAAAGAGAGUUAAACAGUACGUGAAAUUGUUGAAAGGGAAACGUUUGAAGUCAGUCGCGUUGACCGAGACUCAACCUUGCUUCCGCUCGGUGCACUUCUCGGUUGACGGGUCAGCAUCAAUUUCGACCGCCGGAUAAAGGCUGAGGGAACGUGACAUCUUUCGAGGUGUGUUAUAGCCCUCGAUCUCGCAUACGAGCGAUUGAGGAUUGAGGAACUCAGCGCAGCCUUUAUGGUCGGAGUAGCACACGCACGUUACGCGCUCAGGAUGCUGGCAUAAUGGCUUUAAGCGACCCGUCUUGAAACACGG
Molecule: ribosomal RNA, 671 nt
Filed under: uncultured fungus
Lineage: Eukaryota; Fungi
Description: eukaryotic LSU rRNA
Rfam family: Eukaryotic large subunit ribosomal RNA
Source: RNAcentral